GUGGGGAAUCUUGCGCAAUGGGCGAAAGCCUGAUCCAGCCAUGCCGCGUGUGUGAAGAAGGUCUUCGGAUUGUAAAGCACUUUAAGUUGGGAGGAAGGGUAGUAACCUAAUACGUUGCUACUUUGACGUUACCGACAGAAUAAGCACCGGCUAACUUCGUGCCAGCAGCCGCGGUAAUACGAAGGGUGCAAGCGUUAAUCGGAAUUACUGGGCGUAAAGCGCGCGUAGGUGGUUCAGUAAGUUGGAAGUGAAAUCCCCGGGCUCAACCUGGGAACUGCUUUCAAAACUGCUGAGCUAGAGUACGGUAGAGGGUGGUGGAAUUUCCUGUGUAGCGGUGAAAUGCGUAGAUAUAGGAAGGAACACCAGUGGCGAAGGCGACCACCUGGACUGAUACUGACACUGAGGUGCGAAAGCGUGGGGAGCAAACAGGAUUAGAAACCCAAGUAGUCC
RNAcentral lists this ribosomal RNA (450 nucleotides) under uncultured bacterium. Its description in RNAcentral is "partial 16S ribosomal RNA". It matches the Rfam family "Bacterial small subunit ribosomal RNA", at positions 354 to 796 of the family's 1533-position model. The record is from RNAcentral.